Non-coding RNA from Phascolarctos cinereus (koala), 504 nucleotides. The record is from RefSeq and is a predicted model, not a curated record. Lineage: Eukaryota; Metazoa; Chordata; Mammalia; Diprotodontia; Phascolarctidae.
GGAGAGAGGCCACAGGAGAUACAAGGAUGGUCUUUCUGGAAUGAACUUAGAAGCAGAAGGGGCAGAAACUGGACCCCUGAAAACAAUGGCUAGGAACACCCAAUGGGAACCCGCAGCUCACCCCUGCGUAGAAUGUCUGCUGCUGACUUCUAAACACACCAGUUCCAGGAAUGGGAGACGUGAAUUUGGAGGAUCCAACCCCAGAGCAAGGAGAUAGAGUCAUCAUAGAUCACAGAGGUCAAACCCAUCAGGACUUGGGGCUUCAGUGGAAAAAGUAGGUAAGGCUAAUGAAACACCAGAGAAGUGUCAUUGGGAGAAAUGGCAUCUGACUUCAGAACUACGAUCAGUGCAGCGUCCAAUUGUGACUUCAAUGAAGAAACACGCCUCUCUUCCACUUGGAAGAGAAGUGGUGGGCCAGAAAUGAGGAAUGAAGCCUGACACUGACAACGUGCUGAUUUGUUCUGCUUCAGAGUGGACCCUGAUUUGUUGCAAGGGAGGGUUCUA